UACGAAGGGGGCUAGCGUUGCUCGGAAUCACUGGGCGUAAAGGGUGCGUAGGCGGGUCUUUAAGUCAGGGGUGAAAUCCUGGAGCUCAACUCCAGAACUGCCUUUGAUACUGAAGAUCUUGAGUUCGGGAGAGGUGAGUGGAACUGCGAGUGUAGAGGUGAAAUUCGUAGAUAUUCGCAAGAACACCAGUGGCGAAGGCGGCUCACUGGCCCGGAACUGACGCUGAGGUGCGAAAGCGUGGGGAGCGAACAGG
This 253-nucleotide ribosomal RNA is filed under the name uncultured bacterium. Its description in RNAcentral is "partial 16S ribosomal RNA". It matches the Rfam family "Bacterial small subunit ribosomal RNA", at positions 524 to 776 of the family's 1533-position model. The record is from RNAcentral.